UGUGGUGAUGAUGGCGAGAAGGAUACACCUGUUCCCAUGUCGAACACAGAAGUUAAGCUUCUUAGCGCCGAGAGUAGUUGGGGGAUCGCUCCCU
Molecule: ribosomal RNA, 94 nt
Filed under: Lactiplantibacillus plantarum
Lineage: Bacteria; Bacillati; Bacillota; Bacilli; Lactobacillales; Lactobacillaceae
Source: RNAcentral